Long non-coding RNA from Harpia harpyja (harpy eagle), 627 nucleotides. RefSeq lists it as uncharacterized. The record is from RefSeq and is a predicted model, not a curated record. The transcript has 3 exons. Lineage: Eukaryota; Metazoa; Chordata; Aves; Accipitriformes; Accipitridae.
AUUAGCAAAGUCAACAGCCCCUCUAACACACUGAAGAGGAAAGAACAGUCAAUAAUGUAAGCAAAACUAUUAUUGUGGACUAACUUAACAGCCCCUCUAAAUUGAAUGAAUCUAUAGUCAAGAUUUUCACUUUUUUGUUUAAAAAAAUAUUUUUUGUACUAACUUAUAGGACUUGACGCUUUCUCAAAUUAGAUGAGCAAUAAUUUAAUGUUUGGAAUAACUUAAGUGUUCUUCCCAGGGCAGAUGAUUCUAUAUAUGUCUUAUGUUAUCAGUAUAUCUUUGCCUGUAUGCCUGAGCAUCUGAUAAAUAGUUGCUAAAGUAACUAUUUAGAACUAAUUUUAAAUAUAGGGUCUAUCCUGCUAAAAGUAGAUACUAUGUAAAUACAUUUUAUUUUCAGGGCAGGUGGAAGGAGGAAGUGAAAGAUUAUAGAGCAGCAUUAUCCUAGAAUUAGCAAAGUGUCAGGCAAACCAGCACUUCUUGUAAAAAUCCAUAAGGGAGCCGUCUCCUUUUCACUGGUCCUCGGCAGAUGAACAAUCCCAGGAAGAGUAUUUAACCUGGCUGCUCUCCCUCGCUACACCUCGACGGAUCUUCUGUCCUGCUCCCAGAAGUCCAAAGGUGAAAAAGGGU